UAUCCGUAGGUGAACCUGCGGAUGGAUCAUUACUAAAAUUGAAACUGAGUUUGAAUAUUGCAUUCAUUCCAUUUUUUAUAUUUUUUUACCAUUUGUGAAUUGUUUAUUGUCUGCGAUGAUCGUUUGCGAUUGUCAAUGGCAUAUUUUUAAUAAUUAAUUAAAAACUAUAAUUUUAAAAUCUUAAAACUUUUAGCAACGGAUCUCUAGGCUCUCGCAUCGAUGAAGAAUGCAGC
This 233-nucleotide unclassified non-coding RNA is filed under the name plant metagenome. RNAcentral's name for it is "partial contains small subunit ribosomal RNA, internal transcribed spacer 1, and 5.8S ribosomal RNA". The stretch from base 185 to 233 matches the Rfam family "5.8S ribosomal RNA", at positions 1 to 49 of the family's 154-position model. The record is from RNAcentral.